This 479-nucleotide long non-coding RNA is filed under the name Junco hyemalis (dark-eyed junco). RNAcentral describes it as "lncRNA (ENSJHYG00000003677.1)". Lineage: Eukaryota; Metazoa; Chordata; Aves; Passeriformes; Passerellidae. The record is from RNAcentral.
CCAAGAACAUCCCAAAGGGCCUCCUCACCCUCAUGGACAGCAGGAAUGUCUUCCAUGGCUCCUGCUUGGGAAUGGCAGUGGCUGUUGGGAGCUCUGGAGACCAGAGCACCUUAACAUCCACCUUGAAGAGCAUCAGGAGGGAAGCAGGGAGACUGCAGAGAUGUAGGGGUGGAUCAUCCUGGAGAACCAUGAGUAGGGACAAUGCAUGCCAAGCCAGCCAUCUCCUGUUGUUUUUUCUUGCAAAGAAGAAACAGCUUCAGCCUUCAUCUCAGCUCCUGCCUGGAGGCUCCUGGGCUCCGGUUCCUUACUGUACUCCGGGCUCAGCACCAAAUCCAGGUGAUCUGCUGCAGGUGUGGCGUGAGGACACCCUGUUGGAACACUCGCUCUGGGUACCUCUCUCUGACCACAAAGGGCUCCUGGGUGAGGUCUGGCAGCUUUCCUGUAAGGAACACUUAUGGAUCUUACUAUUGCUGAUUUAA